Molecule: unclassified non-coding RNA, 113 nt
Organism: Aotus nancymaae (Ma's night monkey)
Lineage: Eukaryota; Metazoa; Chordata; Mammalia; Primates; Aotidae
Rfam family: Y RNA
About the family: Y RNAs are components of the Ro ribonucleoprotein particle (Ro RNP), in association with Ro60 and La proteins. The Y RNAs and Ro60 and La proteins are well conserved, but the function of the Ro RNP is not known. In humans the RNA component can be one of four small RNAs -- hY1, hY3, hY4 and hY5.
Source: Ensembl
GGCUGGUCCAAAGAUAGUGAGUUAUCUCAACUGAUUAUUCCCAGUUAGUGACAGAUCGAACUCCUUGUUCUAGUCUUUCCCUACUUCUCACUACUGCACUUAACUAGUCUAAA